This 451-nucleotide ribosomal RNA is filed under the name uncultured bacterium. RNAcentral's name for it is "partial 16S ribosomal RNA". It matches the Rfam family "Bacterial small subunit ribosomal RNA", at positions 29 to 523 of the family's 1533-position model. The record is from RNAcentral.
AACGAACGCUGGCGGCAGGCUUAACACACGCAAGUCGAACGGGUGUAGCAAUACAUCAGUGGCAGACGGGUGAGUAACACGUGGGAACCUUCCUAGGGGUACGGAACAACUCAGGGAAACUUGAGCUAAUACCGUAUACGUCCGUGAGGAGAAAGAUUUAUCGCCCUUAGACGGGCCCGCGUCGGAUUAGCUAGUUGGUGGGGUAACGGCCUACCAAGGCGACGAUCCGUAGCUGAUCUUAGAGGAUGAUCAGCCACGCUGGGAUUGAGACACGGCCCAGACUCCUACGGGAGGCAGCAGUGGGGAAUCUUGGACAAUGGGCGCAAGCCUGAUCCAGCCAUGCCGCGUGAGUGAAGAAGGUCUUCGGAUUGUAAAGCUCUUUUGCCAGGGACGAUAAUGACGGUACCUGGAGAAUAAGCCCCGGCAAACUUCGUGCCAGCAGCCGCCGUAA